CUGAGGCUGAAAACAUAUGCUUCCUCCUCUGUCUCUGGUGUUAUUUAAGGAAAAAGGCACCCUAACCCCUCCUCUCUCUCUCUCUCUCUCUCUCUCUCUCUCUGCACUGGAAUGGGUGUGGUUUUUCGAAGACAAACUUCUGAAUGAUUUGUGUGCAUGCGUCUCAGUUCCUGAGUCGUUCUAGAGGAGGAGCGUGAUGCAGAGUAGCACUCAGGGCCCGGCCUGCGCUCACAGUGGAGUAAAAAAGCAUAAGGCUCCAUGCCUUAAGGCUCCUCUGGCUGGAUAUGGAACUUCUCAGGACAGCCGGGACCAAACUGAAGCUCCUCCAGAGCCUCAGAGAACGCUGUUAUCUGUUCCAUCUUGUUAGAGAACAUCUGGAGAAAAUAUCUGGAGAGCUACUUAUUGGGAGUGGACUUUGAAGAACAGAGAUGUUAUGUGUCAUUUGGGAAAGUAAGGCUGUUGCAAUGUUUUUGUGUACUGUGCAAUAUUAAAACCCUUUGGUCCAGA
This is a long non-coding RNA of Pangasianodon hypophthalmus (striped catfish), 507 nucleotides long. RefSeq lists it as uncharacterized. NCBI's taxonomy places the organism in Eukaryota, Metazoa, Chordata, Actinopteri, Siluriformes, Pangasiidae. The transcript is spliced from 2 exons. The record is from RefSeq and is a predicted model, not a curated record.